This 205-nucleotide ribosomal RNA is filed under the name Clostridioides difficile. RNAcentral's name for it is "partial 16S ribosomal RNA". It matches the Rfam family "Bacterial small subunit ribosomal RNA", at positions 1149 to 1353 of the family's 1533-position model. Lineage: Bacteria; Bacillati; Bacillota; Clostridia; Peptostreptococcales; Peptostreptococcaceae. The record is from RNAcentral.
CUGCCAGGGAUAACCUGGAGGAAGGUGGGGAUGACGUCAAAUCAUCAUGCCCCUUAUGCUUAGGGCUACACACGUGCUACAAUGGGUAGUACAGAGGGUUGCAAAGCCGUAAGGUGGAGCUAAUCCCUUAAAGCUACUCUCAGUUCGGAUUGUAGGCUGAAACUCGCCUACAUGAAGCUGGAGUUACUAGUAAUCGCAGAUCAGA